CAGCUUAAGGUUGAAAUUUUAAAAUAACACAAGAUAUCAAGGGAAGCAAUUAAUUCAGUAAUGGAAGGCAAUUCCAUGAGAAGAUUUGUCCUUAUGGUCGUGAUAAUGACCGUCCUCUCGGUAACUUUAGCCCAGGCUCAGUCUGCUUCUUGCCAACUGAAAUGCCAGAUACAAUGCGGCUUCACCAGAGCAAGAGCUGUUUGUGUCAGCGAAUGCUUAAAACACUGCCGGCAGGUGCAAAUUCCAGGGCCUGUGGAAGUGGAAUAUUGUACCCUUGGUUGUGCAAGUUCCAUCUGUAUAG
Molecule: long non-coding RNA, 301 nt
Filed under: Citrus sinensis (sweet orange)
Lineage: Eukaryota; Viridiplantae; Streptophyta; Magnoliopsida; Sapindales; Rutaceae
Description: long non-coding RNA (CSIN_LNC000284)
Source: RNAcentral